CUGCCUUCCAUUUUAUCAAAUGACCAAGCCAUCCAUAGUGGCCAACCUGCGGAAGAAGUGUGAUGGUCGUAAAAGGAGAGGGACGAGAGGUAUUAACUCUACACUAGAGGGCGCUGGCACCCCACGGUGGGUGGGCAUUUGCUUUAAUCCCAUUCCCAAAACCACCCGGCAUCACCUCUCCCGCAGCCUAGCGUUCAAAGAUAGUGGGUGUGGAUCAUUGGAUCGAAAACAAAAAGCCUAACCACACCACACCACACCCAAACCCAAAGC
Molecule: long non-coding RNA, 270 nt
Organism: Sinocyclocheilus anshuiensis
Lineage: Eukaryota; Metazoa; Chordata; Actinopteri; Cypriniformes; Cyprinidae
Exons: 3
Source: RefSeq, a predicted model, not a curated record